CGUCAACUGUCAACAUUCGGGAACUUCCGGUUGUGGUCUUGCUUCACUUUCUUCAUCUCUCUCAAGUUCAAGAUCAAAGAAGAAACAGCGGACAGUGCAAGAUGACUUUCUUUCAAGAGUUGAGGCCUCUGCUAAAGCCUCAUUACAUAUCGAACUUACUCAUUGCAGUUCUUUAUUUCAUUUUGAAGAGCACUCCCGGUGUGUGUGAAACGUUAUUCCGCUCCUGCCAGUUAGAAUUGAGGGAAUACGAAUGGCUCACUUUCCUUGCUUGUGUUGUGGUGUUGAAAAAUCGAAAGCAAGGCAACAUUGAGGAGUAUGUCUCGACGGCUUGUUUGUUCACCAAGGCUCUCAGCACUAUCUGCUUUUUCAACUACAGCAUCUCCUACGGACUCUUGUACAUUUUGCUAUGUUUAGCUCAUGUGAUGUUCCUGCCUAAGCCAGUGUACAUGGGGCCUGAGAGCAUCGUCUACUUCAGGGGGCCCAACUUGUGUGAAGAGAUUGAAAGAGACAGGAAAGUGACAUGGCUCAUCACGUUCUUUGUGGCGUGGUCCCCCAAAUGCGUCACGUUUGCUCCAGUCUUCUCAGAGUUGUCGCAUGGGUACAGUUUGGACAACCUCAAGUUUGGCAAAAUCGACGUGUCGCGCUACCCGGAGAUUGCCGAGAAAUAUAACAUCAACAUUGGGGCGCUGUCGAGGCAGUUGCCCACGGUGAUUUUGUUCCAGGAGGGCAAGGAGAGUGAGAGGAGGCCAGUACCCACCAAACACAUGACCUUGAAGUUUGACUUCACUAAGGAGAAUGUACUGAGGGAGUUCCAGCUGAACGACGUCUACCACGAGUGUAAGAAGGCGCUCUCGGCCAGGAAGAAAGACAAGGCACAGGACAAGAAGGAGCAGUGAUCUCAGACGCGUUAUAUGUCUAGUUUUAUAUAUAUAUAGUUGUCUGACUUUGUAUGAAAACUUAAUCAAGGAUCUUCGGGAGUGACUGUUGAGUGUGGGUCGUGGGUUACACAAGGUCGUGGGUCAUGGGUGACACAAGGUCGUGGGUCAUGGGUGACACAAGGUCAUGGGUCAAGGGUGACACAAGGUCAUGGGUCAAGGGUGACACAAGGUCGUGGGUCAAGGGUGACACAAGGUCAUGGGUCAAGGGUGACACAAGGUCAUGGGUCAUGGGUGACACAAGGUCGUGGGUCAUGGGUGACACAAGGUCGUGGGUCAUGGGUGACACAAGGUCGUGGGUCAAGGGUGACACAAGGUCGUGGGUCAAGGGUGACACAAUACUCUGGUUUUGUAUGUCAUGGUGCUGCAGAACUUUUUUUUUUGCUGGAUUUUUAUGAUUGGAGGUAUUAAAUGUGUUCAAAUUUUGAAUGUUGAGUCGUAGUUGUGUACGUGUUUCUCAAAUGUGUGUGAAUGUCAGGUAAACAAGAGGUUAUAGCGGGUGUUGAUGGCCUAGGCUCCACUGGGAGUUAGGAAGGGCAAGAGAGAGAGAGAUACUGAGUGUUGAUGGCCUAGGCUCCACUGGGAGUUAGGAAGGGCAAGA
This 1536-nucleotide unclassified non-coding RNA is filed under the name Aplysia californica (California sea hare). RNAcentral's name for it is "thioredoxin-related transmembrane protein 2-B, transcript variant X1". Lineage: Eukaryota; Metazoa; Mollusca; Gastropoda; Aplysiida; Aplysiidae. The record is from RNAcentral.